CAGUAGCCACGGGAAUACGGAGGGCGCGAGCGUUACCCGGAUUUACUGGGCGUAAAGGGCGUGUAGGCGGCCUGGGGCGUCCCAUGUGAAAGGCCACGGCUCAACCGUGGAGGAGCGUGGGAUACGCUCAGGCUAGAGGGUGGGAGAGGGUGGUGGAAUUCCCGGGGUAGCGGUGAAAUGCGCAGAUACCGGGAGGAACGCCGAUGGCGAAGGCAGCCACCUGGUCCACUUCUGACGCUGAGGCUCGAAAGCGUGGGGAGCAAACCGGAUUAGAUACCCCCGUAGUCCCUGUCUCUUAUAC
RNAcentral lists this ribosomal RNA (301 nucleotides) under uncultured bacterium. RNAcentral describes it as "partial 16S ribosomal RNA". It matches the Rfam family "Bacterial small subunit ribosomal RNA", at positions 509 to 807 of the family's 1533-position model. The record is from RNAcentral.